Solea solea (common sole) is the source of this 718-nucleotide long non-coding RNA. RefSeq lists it as uncharacterized. NCBI's taxonomy places the organism in Eukaryota, Metazoa, Chordata, Actinopteri, Pleuronectiformes, Soleidae. The record is from RefSeq and is a predicted model, not a curated record. The transcript is spliced from 4 exons.
UAUAAGAGGAAAGGAGAGAGAGAGGAAGUAAAGGUGAUAGAAGAGGGGAAGAGAGAAACAAUGGGGAGACAAAAGUAAGAAGAGAGAGUGUAUUUGUAGGGAAGACUUUUGAGUGACGGUGAACAGAUUGUAGAUAAAAGAUGAGAGAGAAGCGACGACGAUGAGAAGCAUCAGCGCUGUCAGAGCAUGUUCAAACCUCAGGGGCAGCCAGGGGUGAGUCAUCAGAGCUGCAGCCUGGAGGUUUUUGGACCUGUUCACUCACUGUCAACACCAACACCACCUGAAGGAGAACAGAUUCAGUCGUGGUUCUUUCACGAGUGGAACGAGAAGAAAGGCCUACACCGGUGGACACAUGAUGAAUUGCACUUCUGCUGCUUUGUCCCAGUUUAACCCAAUUUCUUCUUUCUUUCUUUUUUAAUACACUUUAAUUUACUACCAUAGCAGUCAGCUUUAUGCGAGGGAAUAAAGGUUUACUGCAGCAAAGAUUUACCACAGUGACACAAACUGACCACAUGAGGCAGCAGUGGACCAGCAGCAACUGUGUCCCCCCGCAAGCUAAAAUCACUCAUUUUCGGAAAAGUCCGUUCACUGCUGUAAACUGUAUAUUAUUGUAUAAAUUAAAUUAACAAAACUGCAGUUAUAAUCAUAUGCCCGUUGCCUUUGUUGUCAGGAUUGAACUUCAAGCUUUUCAUGUUUGAAACUUCCCAUAUUAGUAAAC